RNAcentral lists this ribosomal RNA (454 nucleotides) under uncultured bacterium. RNAcentral describes it as "bacterial SSU rRNA". It matches the Rfam family "Bacterial small subunit ribosomal RNA", at positions 102 to 549 of the family's 1533-position model. The record is from RNAcentral.
ACGGGUGAGUAACGCGUAGGUAACCUGCCUGGUAGUGGGGGAUAACUAUUGGAAACGAUAGCUAAUACCGCAUAAUAGCAGUUGUUGCAUGACAGCUGUUUGAAAGGUGCAAUUGCACCACUACCAGAUGGACCUGCGUUGUAUUAGCUAGUUGGUGAGGUAACGGCCCACCAAGACGAUGAUGCGUAGCCGGCCUGAGAGGGUGAACGGCCACAUUGGGACUGAGACACGGCCCAGACUCCUACGGGAGGCAGCAGUAGGGAAUUUUCGGCAAUGGGGGAAACCCUGACCGAGCAACGCCGCGUGAGUGAUGACGGCCUUCGGGUUGUAAAGCUCUGUUGUAAGGGAAGAACGGUAGAUAGAGAAUAUCUAAGUGACGGUACCUUACCAGAAAGCCACGGCUAACUACGUGCCAGCAGCCGCGGUAAUACGUAGGUGGCGAGCGUUAUCCGGA